CCUACGGGAGGCAGCAGUAGGGAAUCUUUCACAAUGGGCGAAAGCCUGAUGGAGCAACGCCGCGUGCAGGAUGAAGGCCUUCGGGUUGUACACUGCUUUUAUAAGCGAGAAAUAUGAUGGUAACUUAUGAAUAAGGAUCGGCUAACUACGUGCCAGCAGCCGCGGUCAUACGUAGGAUCCGAGCAUUAUCCGGAGUGACUGGGUGUAAAGAGUUGCGUAGGUGGCAUAAUAAGUAGCUAGUGAAAUCUGGUGGCUCAACCAUUCAGACUAUUAGCUAAACUGUUAAGCUCGAGACCGUUAGGGGUAACUGGAAUUUCUAGUGUAGGAGUGAAAUCCGUAGAUAUUAGAAGGAACACCAAUAGCGUAGGCAGGUUGCUGGGACGGUUCUGACACUAAGGCACGAAAGCGUAGGGAGCAAACGGGAUUAGAUACCCCUGUAGUC
Molecule: ribosomal RNA, 442 nt
Filed under: uncultured bacterium
Lineage: Bacteria
Description: partial 16S ribosomal RNA
Rfam family: Bacterial small subunit ribosomal RNA
Source: RNAcentral